GUGGUUAUGGCUCAGAGGAAAGAGCGCUUGCCUAGCAUGCAUGAAGCACUGGGUUCAAUCCUUAGCACCACA
Molecule: transfer RNA, 72 nt
Filed under: Urocitellus parryii (Arctic ground squirrel)
Lineage: Eukaryota; Metazoa; Chordata; Mammalia; Rodentia; Sciuridae
Also listed under: 1 other name
Description: Spermophilus parryii (Arctic ground squirrel) tRNA
Rfam family: tRNA
About the family: Transfer RNA (tRNA) molecules are approximately 80 nucleotides in length.
Source: Rfam by way of RNAcentral